GUUCUCAGAGCUAGCCAGGUCACAUGAUAUUGACAUCAGACAUGUCGGCGUACAUACAGGCUGAAGUGGAAAUCUCUUCCUACCUGAACUCUCAGCACUGGAGAAACUGUGCAGUUUAUCACUGACCGUGGUAUACAGAUGAGCCAAAAAGGAAAACGUGGGUUAGAGAACCUGGCAGGACAACGGUUACUUGUCAAGACAUCCAUCCAGCUCUGAAGGCUGCCAUUGCCUGACUGGUGUUAGAUCCAGGCCAAGAACAUCAUUGUAAAAGCAGAGGUGUACUCUGUUCUCGAGCUAGCACGGAUUCUGGGAGUCACACAAGAACUAUUUCCAGAGCUGGAUAACAGUUCCAGACAGUUCCUAGAUCUCUUCCUGCCUUUCUUGGUGUUAUUGGCCACCUCUAGGUGUUCCAUUUUCAACUGAUGUUUUGUUUCCAAAGCAUAAGGAAAUUACACAGAGAGCGUGGAACCCACGUGGAAUUGCCCUGGCAAUUGUUCAGUUGAAGCACAGAGAUCUCACUGCAGGAGUCCCUUACAGAUAGAAGAAAAUAGGUGAAUUAUUCAGCAUUAACCAAAAACUGAAACAAUAAUUUUCAUUGAACGACCCCUAAACUGAGUAUUACUCAUAGACAACAAUAAAUAAAAAGCUUCAUACUGUUUUCAAAUGGACUGAACUCCUGCUAAACAGUGUUAUACAAUGUCUAAAAUAGAACUAAAAUAAAAAGAAACAUUUAAA
Rana temporaria (common frog) is the source of this 735-nucleotide long non-coding RNA. RefSeq lists it as uncharacterized. The transcript is spliced from 3 exons. The record is from RefSeq and is a predicted model, not a curated record. NCBI's taxonomy places the organism in Eukaryota, Metazoa, Chordata, Amphibia, Anura, Ranidae.